This 616-nucleotide ribosomal RNA is filed under the name uncultured bacterium. Its description in RNAcentral is "bacterial SSU rRNA". It matches the Rfam family "Bacterial small subunit ribosomal RNA", at positions 110 to 719 of the family's 1533-position model. The record is from RNAcentral.
GUAAUAUAUCGGAACGUGCCCUGGAGUGGGGGAUAACGCAGCGAAAGUUGCGCUAAUACCGCAUACGAUCUACGGAUGAAAGUGGGGGAUCCGCAAGGACCUCAUGCUCGUGGAGCGGCCGAUAUCUGAUUAGCUAGUUGGUAGGGUAAAAGCCUACCAAGGCAUCGAUCAGUAGCUGGUCUGAGAGGACGACCAGCCACACUGGAACUGAGACACGGUCCAGACUCCUACGGGAGGCAGCAGUGGGGAAUUUUGGACAAUGGGGGCAACCCUGAUCCAGCAAUGCCGCGUGAGUGAAGAAGGCCUUCGGGUUGUAAAGCUCUUUUGUCGGGGAAGAAACGGUGAUUUUUAAUACAGAUCACUAAUGACGGUACCCGAAGAAUAAGCACCGGCUAACUACGUGCCAGCAGCCGCGGUAAUACGUAGGGUGCAAGCGUUAAUCGGAAUUACUGGGCGUAAAGCGUGCGCAGGCGGUUAUGUAAGACAGAUGUGAAAUGCCCGGGCUCAACCUGGGAACUGCAUUUGUGACUGCAUGGCUAGAGUGUGUCAGAGGGGGGGUAGAAUUCCACGUGUAGCAGUGAAAUGCGUAGAGAUGUGGAGGAAUACCGAUGGCGAA